UACGGAGGGGGCUAGCGUUGUUCGGAAUUACUGGGCGUAAAGCGCGCGUAGGCGGCUUUGUAAGUUAGAGGUGAAAGCCUGGAGCUCAACUCCAGAACUGCCUUUAAAAACUGCAUCGCUUGAAUCCAGGAGAGGUGAGUGGAAUUCCGAGUGUAGAGGUGAAAUUCGUAGAUAUUCGGAAGAACACCAGUGGCGAAGGCGGCUCACUGGACUGGUAUUGACGCUGAUGUGCGAAAGCGUGGGGAGCAAACAGGG
Molecule: ribosomal RNA, 255 nt
Filed under: uncultured bacterium
Lineage: Bacteria
Description: partial 16S ribosomal RNA
Rfam family: Bacterial small subunit ribosomal RNA
Source: RNAcentral